RNAcentral lists this ribosomal RNA (520 nucleotides) under uncultured Glomus. RNAcentral describes it as "SSU rRNA". It matches the Rfam family "Eukaryotic small subunit ribosomal RNA", at positions 569 to 1090 of the family's 1831-position model. The record is from RNAcentral. Lineage: Eukaryota; Fungi; Glomeromycota; Glomeromycetes; Glomerales; Glomeraceae.
AGCAGCCGCGGUAAUUCCAGCUCCAAUAGCGUAUAUUAAAGUUGUUGCAGUUAAAAAGCUCGUAGUUGAAUUUCGGGGUCAGUAGAUUGGUCGUGCCACUGGUAUGUACUGGUCUUACUGGCUCCUCCUUCCUGAUGAACCGUAAUGCCAUUAAUUUGGUGUUGCGGGGAGACUGGACUGUUACUUUGAAAAAAUUAGAGUGUUUAAAGCAGGCUAACGCUUGAAUACAUUAGCAUGGAAUAAUGAAAUAGGACGUUCGAUCUUACUUUGUUGGUUUCUAGGAUUGACGUAAUGAUUAAUAGGGAUAGUUGGGGGCAUUAGUAUUCAAUUGUCAGAGGUGAAAUUCUUGGAUUUAUUGAAGACUAACUACUGCGAAAGCAUUUUGCCAAGGAUGUUUUCAUUAAUCAAGAACGAAAGUUAGGGGAUCGAAGACGAUCAGAUACCGUCGUAGUCUUAACCAUAAACUAUGCCGACUAGGGAUCGGAUGAUGUUAAUUUUUAAUGACUCAUUCGGCGCCUUA